This 799-nucleotide long non-coding RNA is filed under the name Vulpes vulpes (red fox). RNAcentral's name for it is "lncRNA (ENSVVUG00000002948.1)". Lineage: Eukaryota; Metazoa; Chordata; Mammalia; Carnivora; Canidae. The record is from RNAcentral.
GUAACCUUCUAGAAUCCCAGCAUCUUUAGGCAGGUAGACAGGUUAGCCUAGUUUAUGACUCUCACGUGCAGUAUGGUCAGUAGGGAAGCAAAUUGUCCUGUUUGUGGCACCCAGGGCCAUUCUGGUUUUAGUGUUGACAGUCCAGCAUCCUAGGAAAAUCUUCGUCUCAGGAAAACCAGGGCAACUGGUCACCCUAGCAAUCAGCCAAAGUGAAAUAAAGAAUGUCUACAAGCUGAGGUCGACCACAGGUUAAGGCAAAAUGAUUUGAUGCCCUUAAUGUUGGCACAAAGCAGUUUUCUUUCUUUGUAUCUACACACAGAGCGUCCUUUUAGACCUGCCAAAAUGCUAAAGUAAUUAUGUUCCCUCUUUGUUGUAGCUUGAAAAUAUUCACAGAAGUCCUGGAGCCUGCUUUCUUCCAGCCGACUGACUACUUAGUGAAGCAUUCCUUGCUUAGCUGCUUCAAUCUUCCCUCUUUUCAUCAUUUUAGCUGAUCUCUUCUGAACCUCUGCCAAUUUAUCUGCAUCUUCUUGAUACCAUGGCACUCUGGAUUGAACACCAAGCGCAUUUAUGUAGGCUUUCACCUCCUCGUCUCAUUAUAUGCCCCAGGCAGCAAAUGCAGCAAAACCAUGGAAUGUUCCAUGUACUCCAGAAAUUAGAAGUUCCUUCAAUGCAUGAGGUCGUGAACUCUGGCACAAAUGUAGGCGUGUCUUUGGGUCUCCUUCCUAGCACCAGUGACAUAGCAGGAAUCUAUCAAAAUUUAUAAAAUAAAUUUUGGCACGCUAUAAAAUAAUUAUUAGCA